Molecule: ribosomal RNA, 497 nt
Filed under: uncultured bacterium
Lineage: Bacteria
Description: partial 16S ribosomal RNA
Rfam family: Bacterial small subunit ribosomal RNA
Source: RNAcentral
GAUGAACGCUGGCGGCGUGCCUAAUACAUGCAAGUCGAGCGAACAGACGAGGAGCUUGCUCCUCUGACGUUAGCGGCGGACGGGUGAGUAACACGUGGAUAACCUACCUAUAAGACUGGGAUAACUUCGGGAAACCGGAGCUAAUACCGGAUAAUCUAUUGAACCGCAUGGUUCAAUAGUGAAAGACGGUUUUGCUGUCACUUAUAGAUGGAUCCGCGCCGCAUUAGCUAGUUGGUAAGGUAACGGCUUACCAAGGCAACGAUGCGUAGCCGACCUGAGAGGGUGAUCGGCCACACUGGAACUGGGACACGGUCCAGACUCCUACGGGAGGCAGCAGUAGGGAAUCUUCCGCAAUGGGCGAAAGCCUGACGGAGCAACGCCGCGUGAGUGAUGAAGGUCUUCGGAUCGUAAAACUCUGUUAUUAGGGAAGAACAAAUGUGUAAGUAACUAUGCACGUCUUGACGGUACCUAAUCAGAAAGCCACGGCUAACUACGUG